UUUUACAUAAAUAAUUUUAAAAUUGUUGCAUUUCAUAAAUUUUUAAAUAGACAUGAGUUUAAAACAAACAUUACAUAGAAGCAAAUAUAAAUAUGAAAAUCAUACAAGAAAAUAAAUACAUACGAAUGGCGGCUGUUGUCUUUUGUAGUGCAAAGAGACCGUCGGAAAAUAUUAGCUGGAUACGUUGCAUCUUCUUUGAAAUAAUCUUCCCAUAAUUGGAUGCGUCUUUGUUCACGAUCUCUUUCAAUAUACGCGCGUUUUUCUUGGUUUUGGUUGUUUUUUGAUAAUCACCUUAAUUUUCGAUAUGUCGUUGAAAGCUUGAUUAAAAGUUUAAUUAAAAGGGUUGUUCAUCAUAUUUUGGAGAUUAUUUUUUUGGGUUUUUUCCUUGUAUGUUUAAUCCAUCACUGAAUGAAAAAAAAAAAAAAAAAAAAAACUCACCCAGUCAGCUUUUGCCACGUCACCGUCUCUUGAGAUGAUAACCACCUCUUCAAAAAGAACCGGUUCUCUCUUAUUUUUGUUAAUAACCAUUUAUUUUUAAUCUGUUUUUGGCUAAAGAGCCUCAUUAAAACCUGCCGUUGAGGCUGGUCUAAGCUUUUACCUCUUCCGUGUAAAACGUCGAGAGUAUGAGGUCAUAUUCGAUCGCUUCCUUUUUCGUUAGUUAAAACUUAUUUAAAAUUCAAUAAUUCGAAUAUGACAUUUGGAUAAAC
Molecule: long non-coding RNA, 707 nt
Filed under: Capsella rubella
Lineage: Eukaryota; Viridiplantae; Streptophyta; Magnoliopsida; Brassicales; Brassicaceae
Description: long non-coding RNA (CRUB_LNC002028)
Source: RNAcentral